CCUACGGGAGGCAGCAGUGAGGAAUAUUGGUCAAUGGCCGUAAGGCUGAACCAGCCAAGCCGCGUGAAGGAAGAAGGUCCUAUGGUUUGUAAACUUCUUUUAUAGGGGAAUAAAGGUAUUCACGUGUGGAUAUUUGCAUGUACCUUAUGAAUAAGCAUCGGCUAACUCCGUGCCAGCAGCCGCGGUAAUACGGAGGAUGCGAGCGUUAUCCGGAUUUAUUGGGUUUAACGGGUGCGUAGGUUGUUUUUUAAGUCAGCGGUGAAAGUUUGUGGCUCAACCCUAGAAUAGCCGUUGAAACUGGAAGACUGGAGUGUGUUAGAGGUAGGCGGAAUGCGUGGUGUAGCGGUGAAAUGCAUAGAUAUCACGCAGAACCCCGAUGGCGAAGGCAGCGUACU
Molecule: ribosomal RNA, 395 nt
Filed under: uncultured bacterium
Lineage: Bacteria
Description: partial 16S ribosomal RNA
Rfam family: Bacterial small subunit ribosomal RNA
Source: RNAcentral